CUUGUCAAAACAUCAUUUAACGGCCUUUAAAUGGUCAAAGAUCCAGCGCUUGUCGUAAUCUUUGAUUUUUAAUGGAUACGGUCACGUGAUCGUGAUGACGUCAGUGGAUACAAGCCGAGAAAAUGUCUCAAUGAGGACGAAGUCGAUCAUAUUUCUGCAUAAUUAAACAAUGGACAGUGUUAGCAUCAGUUUUCAAGGCAACUCUCUAACUUUAGAUAUUCGACCGUAUCAUUUUGAGCCGUUACUUGUAGAAAAAAAUCAAGUAGAAGAUAUAAAUUCG
This 280-nucleotide long non-coding RNA is filed under the name Mytilus galloprovincialis (Mediterranean mussel). The record is from RNAcentral. Lineage: Eukaryota; Metazoa; Mollusca; Bivalvia; Mytilida; Mytilidae.